Long non-coding RNA from Eurytemora carolleeae, 469 nucleotides. RefSeq lists it as uncharacterized. The transcript has 2 exons. Lineage: Eukaryota; Metazoa; Arthropoda; Copepoda; Calanoida; Temoridae. The record is from RefSeq and is a predicted model, not a curated record.
AAGACCCGUUCCACUUUACAUUUCUUCUAACGAGCGGUAAUUCUUGCAGGUGGUAUCGGAGGUUUGCUUGGUUCUAAAGGAGCAAUGGCUGCUUCAGCUUUAGGUCUUGGUAUGGGAGGGCACAAGAAGUCUGGAAAGAAAAGCUCCAAGUAUGGUUUACCACUGGGAGCAGGAGCAGGGUUGGGAGCUUUAGGAGCACUUGGAGCUGCAGGAUAUGCCGGGCAUAAACUAAAAAAACGCCAUGGCUCCGGGUCAAGUUCAAGCUCAGAUUCAGAUUAAAAUGAAUGUCGUCGUUGGUCAGAAAUAACCAUUUGUAUUAACAGAGUAGUAUUCCAGGCAGGUUGUAAAAUUAUAUUUAUAUUGAAGAAUUAUCCAACCAAACUUGCCAUUUUGCCAAUUUCUACACUUGGAGUUCUUUGGUUAUUUGAAACACUGUAUUAUUCUGUAAAAUAAAUAAAACCAAAAAAGA